ACGGGUGAGUAAUAUAUCGGAACGUGCCCAGUCGUGGGGGAUAACUGUUCGAAAGAAUAGCUAAUACCGCAUACGACCUGAGGGUGAAAGCGGGGGAUCGCAAGACCUCGCGCGAUUGGAGCGGCCGAUAUCAGAUUAGGUAGUUGGUGGGGUAAAAGCCCACCAAGCCAACGAUCUGUAGCUGGUCUGAGAGGACGACCAGCCACACUGGGACUGAGACACGGCCCAGACUCCUACGGGAGGCAGCAGUGGGGAAUUUUGGACAAUGGGCGCAAGCCUGAUCCAGCCAUGCCGCGUGCGGGAAGAAGGCCUUCGGGUUGUAAACCGCUUUUGUCAGGGAAGAAAAGGUUCUGGUUAAUACCUGGGACUCAUGACGGUACCUGAAGAAUAAGCACCGGCUAACUACGUGCCAGCAGCCGCGGUAAUACGUAGGGUGCAAGCGUUAAUCGGAAUUACUGGGCGUAAAGCGUGCGCAGGCGGUUAUGCAAGACAGAGGUGAAAUCCCCGGGCUCAACCUGGGAACUGCCUUUGUGACUGCAUAGCUAGAGUACGGUAGAGGGGGAUGGAAUUCCGCGUGUAGCAGUGAAAUGCGUA
RNAcentral lists this ribosomal RNA (594 nucleotides) under Pelomonas sp. StTD344. RNAcentral describes it as "bacterial SSU rRNA". It matches the Rfam family "Bacterial small subunit ribosomal RNA", at positions 102 to 692 of the family's 1533-position model. Lineage: Bacteria; Pseudomonadati; Pseudomonadota; Betaproteobacteria; Burkholderiales; Sphaerotilaceae. The record is from RNAcentral.